UCCCAUCACCCCGAGUGGUCGGGACGAUUAUUGGGCCUAAAGCAUCCGUAGCCGGUUCUACAAGUCUUCCGUUAAAUCCACCUGCUUAACAGAUGGGCUGCGGAGGAUACUAUGGAGCUAGGAGGCGGGGGAGGCAAGCGGUACUUAGUGGGUAGGGGUAAAAUCCGUUGAUCCAUUGAAGACCACCAGUGGCGAAGGCGGCUUGCCAGAACGCACUCGACGGUGAGGGAUGAAAGCUGGGGGAGCAAACCGG
RNAcentral lists this ribosomal RNA (253 nucleotides) under uncultured bacterium. Its description in RNAcentral is "partial 16S ribosomal RNA". It matches the Rfam family "Archaeal small subunit ribosomal RNA", at positions 474 to 727 of the family's 1478-position model. The record is from RNAcentral.